RNAcentral lists this long non-coding RNA (657 nucleotides) under Piliocolobus tephrosceles (Ugandan red Colobus). RNAcentral's name for it is "lncRNA (ENSPTEG00000020618.1)". The record is from RNAcentral. Lineage: Eukaryota; Metazoa; Chordata; Mammalia; Primates; Cercopithecidae.
UAAGACUCCUAGGAACCCUACUGUGACUGGCAUCUACAGUAAAGACAGUCUUGUGAAAGACUGAUCUUAACUUCAUCUAGAGUGUCGGCUCUAACACUAGGUAGUUGGUGUCAGACUGGAAUUGAAUUGGACGACACUUAGCUUAUGUUAAAAAAAAUAUGGUGUUGGGAUUCAGUAUCAAAUGUGCAGCAAUCUUAAAUUUUCUCUCUCCCAUAUUCCUGAGGUACAGAACAGGGCAACCAAUAACAUGUGGUAUCUGAACUUCCCCUGUGGCAAAAUGUUCCUUCAGUUUCACCCCACAGCAGUCCAGUUACAAGACAUUAACCUCUUCACCAGUUUCAACGAAAAAAAUCAAUGCAUUUGGUCUACUAUAAAAAAGAACAAUUAAAGAGCUAAGAAAAAGUAAGAAAAAAGGUAAAAAAUAUUUACAAAGUGACAAUGACUGUUUUCAAUAUAAACUGAGAGAAUGCUUAUAUAUUUUUCAAAAACUGUUUCUUUUUUCUAAAGCAGAGCACACUAUCAGAUAACAUGAUGAAUUCACUGACAGACUUUAUUUGAAGCAUGGCAGCUAAACCAUCAUAGAUAUUCUCUGCAAAGCAGUGGCAGAACUUCAUGUUGCUUGUUUUAAUAAAACAGGAGAUCAGAUUCCUAGAAGCA